RNAcentral lists this ribosomal RNA (482 nucleotides) under Yamadazyma aaseri. RNAcentral describes it as "eukaryotic LSU rRNA". It matches the Rfam family "Eukaryotic large subunit ribosomal RNA", at positions 67 to 554 of the family's 3401-position model. The record is from RNAcentral. Lineage: Eukaryota; Fungi; Ascomycota; Pichiomycetes; Serinales; Debaryomycetaceae.
AACAGGGAUUGCCUUAGUAGCGGCGAGUGAAGCGGCAAUAGCUCAAAUUUGAAAUCUGGCACCUUCGGUGUCCGAGUUGUAAUUUGAAGAAGGUAUCUUUGGUUUUGGCCUUUGUCUAUGUUUCUUGGAACAGGACGUCACAGAGGGUGAGAAUCCCGUGCGACAAGGUGCCCAAUUCCAUGUAAAGUUCCUUCGACGAGUCGAGUUGUUUGGGAAUGCAGCUCUAAGUGGGUGGUAAAUUCCAUCUAAAGCUAAAUAUUGGCGAGAGACCGAUAGCGAACAAGUACUGUGAAGGAAAGAUGAAAAGAACUUUGAAAAGAGAGUGAAAAAGUACGUGAAAUUGUUGAAAGGGAAGGGCUUGAGGUCAGACUUGGUUUUACCAGGCCAGCAUCAGUUUGGAUGGCAGGAUAAUAGCUAAGAAAAGUGGCACAGCUUCGGUUGUGUGUNAUAGUCUUGGUUGAUACUGCCNGNCCAGACUGAGG